RNAcentral lists this long non-coding RNA (18662 nucleotides) under Equus caballus (horse). RNAcentral's name for it is "lncRNA (ENSECAG00000059639.1)". The record is from RNAcentral. Lineage: Eukaryota; Metazoa; Chordata; Mammalia; Perissodactyla; Equidae.
AUUUAUCUGUUUCCUGGUACAUACAGGCAACAGUUCCUCUGGCACUGACACAUGGGGGAGGGUUGUUGGAUCUUAGAGUAUGUGCAUUUUGGCUCUACUAAGCCAGUUUGGUUUAAUCAAUAGUUUAAAAAAUUUAAUUCAUCUACGGUAAAUAUUUAACAUUCUGGAGCAAGAAAGAAGUCAUAUCCUAUUCAGUUGUAAAAUCUGGCUUUCUGGUUGUAUGCUAAGCAUCGUAACAGAAUACUGUGCCCAGUUAGUCUGAAAUGGCUCUACCGAGAUAUCAGUAAGGCCUCCUGGAGGAGCAGAGUGUUAUCCUGACUCAGGCUACUGAAAUAAAGCGAAAUUGUCAGUUCAUAAAAAAGAUAAGAAAAUCAGCAUGGGAAUGGAUAAAUGAGGAAUACAGGAGACCAUCCUGUUCCAAGAAAGGUAAUUUAGCAAGAUAAUGAGGUCUUGUAUCUUUUCUAGUCAUAAUUAGAUAUUUAUGUUAUUUCAGUCCCCUGAAGAUGAUCAGCUCCCUGUGAAUUCUGUAUCCGUGAAUGUAAGCUUACAAACUGGGACCAUCAAAUAAAGAAUCUCUGUCGAGUUUGCCUCACCUGUCCUCACCGUUCCUCCUCUCACCACACCCCCACAUUUCCAUCUGUUUCAGCUCAGUUGUUACCAUUCCAAGAGGGACUGUCUACCCCUGCUCUUAAUGAAGCUCCAUGGGAGUCACAGUGCAGAAGGAAAAAUAGCUCAGAAUUUUCCAGAUAACUGGUAUCCUGAGGAAUAUUUUCUUAGAAAUGUAAAAGGCGAUACAGAGUUCAUACUUGUUUUAUGAGUUUAUACUUUUUUCCAUUGUAGAAUCUCUUGAAGUCAUUCCAAAUGUCCUUCCUCAGCCCUUGUUCCCAGGCCAUACGUCAUGGGUCUCAGUGGGCACUGGGAGCUAUUCCAAGUGGCAGUUUCUCCAUGUGCACAAAUGACACCGUCAAUGGGCUCAAUGAAGGGUGCAGCGCAGCUCGCACACCUGCGGACAGCGGUUGUUCAAGUCUGUGGACAACUUUGUGACAAAUGAAGGAUGAAUGCAUUUUACAUCACAAGUUAAUACUAUGUAGCUUUUUAUCUUUUUUUUUUUUAAAGAUUGGCACCUGACCUAACAACUGUUGCCAAUCUUCUCUCUUUUUUUUUUUCUGCUUUUUUCUCCCCAAAUCCCCCCAGCACAUAGUUGUAUAUUUUUAGUUGUGGGUCCUCCUAGUUGUGGCGCAUGGGAUGCCGCCUCAACGUGGCCUGACGAGUGGUGCCAUGUGCACACCCAGGAUCCGAACCAGCGAAACCUUGGGCCAUGGGAAGUGGAGUGCACGAACUCAACCACUCAGCCAUGGGGCUGGCCCCAGCUUUUUUAACUUCUUAAUCAAUGGAUAUAUAGAUUCCAGCUGUUCUCAUGGAGGUGAGAAGACAUUUUUGAUAUUAAAAGUGUUUUCAGGGCUGGCGCCGUGGCGGAGUGGUUAAGUUUGCGCGCUCCGCUGCAGGCAGCCCAGUGUUUCAUUGGUUUGAAUCCUGGGUGCGGACAUUGCACUGCUCAUCAAACCACGCUGAGGCAGCGUCCCACAUGCCACAACUGGAAGGACCCACAACGAAGAAUAUACAACUAUGUACUGGGGGACUUUGGGGAGAAAAAGGAAAAAAAUAAAAAAAUAAAAUCUUAAAAAAAAAGUGUUUUCAAAAUCUAAAAGUUUGGAAACUACUGCUACACCACAUCCAUCUGCACCUCUAACUUUAUGUGUCCGUAUGUGUGUGUGGAAUGUGUGCGUGCAUCCACACACAUGCAUAUCUCUAGAUGUUUUUAUAACAAUCCACAUCACCAGAAAGAAGGGACGAUACUAAGAAAUAAAUUUUCUGCAGAGAUGUAACUUCCAGCUCUCUCUGAGACAGCAUUUUAAAUUAUUAAACAGAAUACUUAACAUUUAUACUUGAACAUCUUCUUCAUAAACAGAUAAGUUAGAGAACACCAUCUUUCAACGAGAUUCCUCACGCUGCUGAGGAACAUAGGGUCCCUCUCAGUUGCAUCUUUGUAAACACUACUUACAAAUCACUAAAUACUUAAUAAGGAGAGGAACAAAAAGCUGAAUUGAUUAGAUAUGAGUCAGAAAAUAAAGUGAAGCAAAAUUUGAAUAGUAGUACAUAUCUUUUCUUAUUUAUUAUCCAAGUUUUGAAAAAUUAAGGUUCCUUUUCUUCAUUUUUUCCAAUUCACUUUUGUUACUGAAAAGUAAUUAUUAGCAGCCAUGAAUAUACAUGUGGGUACACUGUUUUCUCUUCAUUUGAGCAAAAUUUCAUUGAGUGGAAGAGACUGUCUUUUUUAAAAUAUCAUGAAAAAGACACCCCCUCCUUACUACUCAAUUUUAUAGUUGAAUGCUUCAAAGAAAAUAAAAAUAACAAGAAGGAGUCCUCAUAUGGCUAAGACUCAGAAUAAGGAUUUCUCUUGCUAAUGUCCCUCAGAGAACUGUUAUGGAAAAUCACUAAAUUGGCUUCUGACAGUGUUUUCAUAUGCAAAACAAAAUAUAAAUGACAGUAUUUUCAUUACUGCUAUUAAUGAAAAUAUUGAUGUCUAAAUGUUUAUACUCUGGAAAAAUAUGAAAUGAGAGCCUGACUGAAUGAAACAUGUGUUGUUCACUGAAACAGACUUUUUCUUUAAUCUAUGAAACAAUUAGCAUCUAAUGUCCUACAUGGAGUUGUAUGUUCUCCCCUGGUGACGCUUAAGAGAGAGUUACAGUGAAGCAAAUAUUCCAAAGAAAAUGAUAAACUGAAGAAAAAUUCUUAAUUAGAUGAUCCAUGAAGUCCUCGGUCUUGUUUGUUUUUCUCCUCCAGGGGUCAUUCGAUGAAUAACACACUUGAGAGAGUUGGUAUAAACAGUGUCUUGGCACCAGGGGAAGGUGAGAUUAGAACGGACUCCUGGAAGGGGUCCUGGCAGCCUUGCUGAACCCAGUGGUGCCUGGGUGCGAGUUGAUGCACAGAUUAUGUGCGGGACAGUUUGUCCUUUGUGUCUGCUGUGCUUACAGAUCUGAAAAUACAGACACUGUGGCGUAGAGAUCGAUGAACCACCAUUGGAGAACAUUUACAUCUGUCACUCUUGUAACACAAUCAUUCCUUGCUUUUGCCCUUCAGUAGAAACUUUUCUCUCCCCACAUGGAAACAAAGUGUUGCCACGCGAAGACCCGGCUGAUGAGCGGUGGGGACUGCUGCUCCUGUUUGGAGAAUGAGGGUGGCCUCGCGGACUCUUUCCCUGACAAGCGCUGUCUGCUGAUGCACGGGGCGACGGACAUCUGCAAAGUCAGACUCCUCGUGAAGGCUGGACCUGAAUCCCAGCAGGAGCCACUUCAGAGGACUCCCUCUAUUCUGAAAGACAUGAUUUCCCCCCGAGCAGGCAGUUCACGGACUGUCAGUAACUACUCCUCAUUUUGAGAGGACAAUGGAAGCUCAUCGUCCCCUCCUAACACUCCCACAUGGCUUCCACUCUGCAACCGGGUCCCUUCAGCUGCUGGACACCACCUAGAAGGAACUUGACAGUCUUUCAUCUACUAGAUUAAAUUCGUUUUCUCCUACAAAGGAAGAUAGUGCUUUGUGCUGCAUAUUCAAACUUUGCUUAUACUUUAAAAAUAUAUCAUCGACUUGCUCAUUAUAUAUUUGCUUAGGGAUAAAACAUACCAAAAAUGGAAAAGUUUUGCUUCUAUUUUCUAAAAGAGUAUAAACAAGCAAACAUGGGCCACUAUCAAACCAUUUCUAAUCCUCCUUGGCAUCUGAGGUGCUUAAGUUUCAGUUUUGACUGCUUUACAACAACCAUCCAGAUUCAUGGCAUUGUAAUUUAGAGUUUGUCUAAAUGCACUGUUACACUGGGCCGUCUUCAAGGCUAUCUGUGGAAAUAAAUCAUUCGGUCCCAGUUGAAUGCCCUGGGAUAGACAAUUCUCUAUGGACUCACAUUAUACAGUAGAAUAACGUUCAUGAAGUGGUAAAAUCUUUGUUUCUUGGAAAAAUGAUGCCCCUGAGAAGCUGGGCCUAAAGUUACAGAGAUCCUCCAGAUCGAGAAUGUGAAAGGUCUACAAAGAACCUUACCCCUAUCAGAGGUCUACUAAAUCAAUGAGAAGUUCAUGUUUCCAUGGUAUAAAUUCGGCUCCUUCUAGAAACUCUUAAAAGCACUCCGAGUUACAUGUGAAAAAAAUCAGCUCAAAAAGGAUCAUUCAAACUCAUCAUGAGCAAUUCAAUGGUUCACGUAACCGAAAGGCUGGCUCAGGUGCAGAGGCCGUAGACGUCAGUAAGAGUCUUCCUCUGGGUUGUGGCUCAUGAGGGUUCUUCUUUACUGAAGGCAAGACGCUCGCAGCAUCUGCAGCCUCACAUCCUUCCAACCCCAACCUCGUGGAAAGAGGAUGGCACUGUCCGUCUCGACGCUCCCAGUCAAAACUCUCAUGACGUCUGAUUGGCUCUGGUCGUGUCACUGUGACCCAGUCAGUCACUGUGACCAGGGGAAGACAGGAAUACAAUGGGCUGUUAGACUGGGUCCAGGCCCACGUUCCGUCCAGAGGCCCAUCCAGACCACUCGAGAGACAACAGGGCAGAAUGGACCUUAAACUAACUCUGGAGCCUUUUGCCAAAUGGAGGAUGGCUGUUGGGGACACCAAGUUCACUGCUCCACCCUGCUGGAACCUUCUGCCACCUGCUUGUCAGACACAGCCUCACCUGGCAUUGUUCCCUAUGUGUCAAGGAUGUGGAAAAAUUCAUAAAUGGAGAUAUAAUUUUAUAGAUCUAAUAACUACUCUCUAAUAUACUAUUUAAAUUUUUAAUAAAAUUAUUAACUAUAUUGAACUCAGUAUUAGCUAUUCCUUAAGUGGGUCCUUUAUAUUAACAUGCAUGAAUACUUGAAAUUUUAAUCCAGAAUGCAGAAUUCAAAUUUUAUUUUAGUCAAUUUGGGGCAAAGGAUGACAUUAGAAUAAUUUACUGUUGCAUAGAUGUAAACAAAGUCAUUGAACUGUUUCUUCCCUGCCAGGAGAGCAUUAUAUGAUGCUGCAUUUAAUUUAUUUUAUUAACUCCCCCCAUAGGAAAAUGCACUUGGAGUGUAUCUUAAUACUUGGAGAUACUAUACUAUAAAAUACACUUGGAGUGUAAAGCCACUAUCAUAUUUAAUAUCACAUUAACUAUUAAUUUUACAGCUGGAAAGGACCAUAGAGAUCAUUCAGUCCUGAUAUUUCUUAAUAGUGGUAUUUUCUGGUAAGCUAUUUGUGUUUAUUUUCUCCAUAAGGCAGGACAGCCAGGAAAACUUGUUCACAUUAGCACAGCUUUGUGAAAUAGGCUAGUUUGGGGCUGGUUCUGUAAAGGGCUCCCUGCUCAUUCAACCUGACCCCAGUGCUCCCCAACCCACCGUGUCCUGGCCGGGGCGUCACUCCUGCAGGUGGCCCUGAGUCACUGUCCCUGCGCUGUGUGAGGACACCAUGACGAUAAGAUAAACAUGGCCCCCGACCAACUGCAGGGUCUUCCAGACCAGCGAGGAUGACAGACAAACACAUUGGUCAGCACAGAGUGCAGCUGGGUUUAUAAAGGACAAUUGCAGAGUCUGUUCUGUGGUCUCGGAGCCCCUCUGGCCCAGGCUGGGGGCUCAGGGCAGCCGACUUUGAGUGGAGAACUGAAGGAUGAGUCUGGGCUGCGCCACUUACACACUGGAGGCCCUGACAGUCGCCCACCUGCCUGGAAUACGAGUCGGAGGCGAGGAAGUUGCUUUGAGGCCAGAUUAUGCAGGAACUUGUAGACUGUAAGGAUUUUAGUCUUUAUUCUAAAGUUUUAAGCAAAGGGUGACAUAAUCAGAUUUGCAUUUGAAAAGUCACUUUGGCUGGUGUGCAGAGAACAAGUACGGAGGUGGGUGUGAAAAGGAUGUGAGAACAGUUAGGAAACUGAUAGAGUCUUCCAGGGAUGACUCGAUGCUGGCUCGCCCCAGAGGGGCCUUACUGGAGAAGAAAGAUGUGCAGGUUUGAGAGAGAUUUUCAGUGUAAAACGGAAAAGAAACAUUGGUCUUCAGAGUCAUUGCAUGCCAGUGAGUUUCCUCAGCGCACUUUGUGGGAGGGCCAACACCCAGUCUCAGAUUUCCUAAUGAGACUCAGUGAAGAUAUCCUGUGGUGGCCACAUUCCUCUUGCUUAUCAUGAUGCGUAGAUGCCUCUAAGAGCAAUUGACCCACACCCUGCAGCUUUCAGACUAAUGCAGAUGCCUUUUGAUGUCCCCUGAGUUUCCGAUCUUGUUGAUUCAAGUCUCUCUGCUCCUGACUGAACUAACUCAUAGACAUCUUUGAAAUUUAAAACAUCCAAUAUUCCAGGGUGCCUGUGUGUCUGAAAAUGUUCUGAGUCAUAGCACAGUUUAUAGCUAUCCACUCCCUAAAGCCUCACACCAACACGGUCUGGAGGCCUGCACGGUCAGUAAAGACAGCCGACCCAACAUAGCAUGCCAUAUGGAUAUUUUUUCUUAAACAAAUGCUGUGUCCUGCAGUUAAAAAUUCACGUUUACAUCAAAAUGAUGUUGGUGUGAUUGUAGGCUUUGUAAGGCUCCCAUUCUGCCUCUAUUUCCCCUUUUCCUUCCCCACCUCCUACAGCACUGGUGGUCCCCACAGUCACCUUUCAGGCCAUUCUCUCAUUCCAAACUAGAGACUCCAGAUGCCUGAUGCUGCCCCUGAGCCUUCUGCCUUCACGUCCAGCCGCUCAUAUAUUCACUCAGUUCACAAAUAUCUUUGAGAGUCUGUCCUAUCACAGCCCCUGUUAAACAACUCCGUGAGGUGGUCCUCCAACAACUCCAAUCCGUGUAUCUGAAAUUAAGUGAAUCGUCAGACCUCCCGCCUCCUCCCUGCUUUGUAUUCCAGAUUCCAGCAAAGGCUUCGCUUUCCUCAGUGCAGCCCCAACUCCCCCUGCCCUUCCAACCAGCCACCAGUCCUACAGCUCUUCUUCCUAGACCCCUUCCAAAUUCAUCCCUUUUCCCACCUCCCUGCACCUCAGGGCCUCCGUUCACACCCUUGUCACCUCUGGUACCAAAAGCUCACACUGGGCUUCCUUCCGCCAACUGGGGCCUCUGUGUCAGUCAACGUUUCCACUCCCAGCCCGUGAUAAAGACUUCCUAAUCGUGUCCCUCCUGUACCUGGAAGUCUCAAAGGCCAUGUUUCCUCAUUGCUUUUAGGACAAAACACUAGCGUCUCAGACCCUUCAGGAAUGUGCUCUUUCCCCGAGCUACGUCCUGACACCCCCUCCCUGCAGACUCUGGUCACAAGUGACUUCUUGUCUGCCGUUUAUAACACGCUCACGUCUGUGCCUGCACUCUUUCUUCCUCCCUCUCCUGUCUCUCGUCACUUUCAAGAUUCAGUCUUAAGGUCACUUCUCUGCUCAGGACAUGCAGGCUCAGGCCCACAUGGGCCUGGUCACUCGGCUCUGUCUAUCUCUUUGUCGGGCUCUCUGAUCGCAGCUUACUCUGACCACAGGCUCCCGCCUCCUCCUUCCACUCAACCCAACCUCGUGAAGCACGGAUCCUUUGUCCCCGGGAUCCAGCACAGCAGGUGAAAUGUGCUGGGUGACCACACGCCUCUGUGAACCAGGGCUGACAGCUACGAUAAUACUCGGAAAUGGAGAAGUGCUUCCAGUGUGCCGGGCAUUGCUACAAGUUUGGGAGAAAUGCACACACAUGAAGGAAACCGCGUUAAAUCUUGGGUGAGAGAAUGAGCAGGUAAGUGUAGAAGCCUCGCCGUGGGACUCCUGGGGCAGGAGCACUUCCGAGCAUUUAAACCAAAAAGAAAAGAACAACAGCGAGCCAGCCCAGUGGCCUCGUGGUUAAAGUUCGGCGCGCUCCACUUCGCCAGCCCAGGUUCAGCUCCUGGUUGCAAAACCCCAGCACCAGUCCGUCAGCAGCUGGGCUGCAGUGGCCGCUCACACAGGACUAGAGGGACUUACUAGAAUAUACAGCUGUGCUUGGGGCCUUGGGGAGGAAAAAAAGAGGAAGAUUGGCAACAGAUAUUAGCUCAGGGAAUCUUUCCCAGAAAAAAAAUAAAAUAAAAAAAUAUACUAAAAAAAAUCCAACAAUAAAAAAUACAUUUUAUGUCACAAAUGCUCCACAAUCCAAUCAUGUAUAAUAAUGAAAAUGAAAACUUUACAAAAAUAAUACCCUUACUACGUAUGAUGCCCUUUGAUAUUUUUUCUGUAGCCAUUUCAUCUUUUAAUUGUUGAUUAUAAACCACUAAAUUUAUUUUAUAACUCAUUUUGGAAGAUACUGCUUUAGUAUUUUUACCGUAUUUGAUUUAUACAGGUUUUCUUUCACAAAACUUCUGUAAAUGAUUAAGGCUGUAUGUGAAAAGUAAAGAAGCAAUUUCUCUAAUUUUUAGGGCUACUCAAAACUCAUCGAUUUUCUAAAUAUGUGAUUCUUCCAACAGGUAGCUUGCUACGAGAUGUUUUUUUACAUACUUCACACACAUCGAAACCUUCAGAACCAGGCUGAGUGGCCUGAGCAGGGUUUGCAAUCACAGAUUGUCGGUUCCCGUCUUCAGUCUGUGUCGAGUCCACACGUGGAAUCCGUGUUUCCUUCCGUGAAAGCCGGAGCUCUGAUGCCCUCCAUUCUGUCAGGUGUGCUUCCUUUCUCUGUUUGUUUUCUAAUAGAAUACAAUUAUGGGAUUGUUUCCUUGAAACGGAGGUAGUGACGUGAAUUAAUUCAACAUAUACAUGAAAAAUCAUUCUAGAAUAUUAUUUCUUUUUUUCCUAUUUCUAGACACCUCUACUACUGUGAAUAAAUCACAUACAGUUCUAUUACCAUGAGGUUUGGCAAGGAAAUUUGUUUCUACUUUCAUCUUAAGAAGCACGUAUCUGCCAACUUUUAUGUUGCCUCGUGAAAAGUAAUAAAUAUUACACUUCAUAUGUCAGCAUUUCAGUGCCUGGCAAAGGAGAGAGCAUCCAUUGUUUUUCUAAAUGAAAGAGCAAAAAAUUCAGAAAGAUAAAGAGGUUUUGCCAGUGUUUCAUUAUGGAAACAUUUUUCUCUUUAAAAAAAUCUGUUACAAGAACUAUACCAGAAAUGGGGAUAUUUAUCAUGAUAUAUAUGUCUUCGUGACUUAAGUUGUGAAUAUUUUAAAUUGAGACCUUAAAAAGCACACUUAUAUAAAUGCGUUUUGCUUUUUAAAUAAUUUAUAUUUCAAAACAAAAUUUAAGCUGUGUUGAGAAAUUUGUCAAAGUUAAAUUUCUAUCCUACCCUCCUGCUAAGUGCGGUGGAAGAGCUGCCUUGAAUCCCAAAUGUGAAUGCACAGCUUUGACAGUGGACGGAGAAUCUGUUUCUCAGACGUGAUGUGGGGUCUUCUUGGUAGCUCUUCUCGGGUGGUCACACACUGCAGGCUCAGGAGCCGGUACGGACUAGGGAGGCUUUGCGACAUCACAUUCAUGGAGAUAUUUUCCUCAAUGUGUCUCAUGAAUUGGAGGAUUCUUUACAGUAGAAAAUGUCAAAACUAUUAAUUGGAAGUUUUCCAUUUGUUUGGGGUGCACAGAAAAAAUAGGUGAGGUGUUUUUUUUUUUUGCCUAGCAGGGCAGCCCUGCACACGGUGUGGGAGAGCGAGCAGGUGAGCGGGGCGUCCACCUGCAGAGGCGGCUGUCCAGGGCAGGGAUCAGUGCUCCUGAGCGGGGAGGGCCCUCCGGAUUGGGGGUGACAGGAUGUGUUGCAGCCACAGUGGGACGAGCAUGUGACUGCUCAGAGGACAGUGGUGACGGCAGCCUGGCAGCAGUGUCAGAGCCGAGCAGAGACAGGAGGGCACCAGGGCAGCGGGACGCAGAGUGGCGAUAGAGACUGAUGGCUGAUCAGGUACUGGGUCUGAUCUAGUAAGAAAAUACCCUGAGGACGACGGGACCCAGGUUUCUCCUGGGCACAGAAGGGUGGUACAAGCAUGGAAAGGGCAGAACUAGGAUGAAUCCUGUGGUAAUGCAUCAAAUUGAAGAUGCCAGUAUGAAUUCACACAUUUUUCAAAGAAUUCACAUGACAUAGAAACAGAUGUAGGGGUAAAUGUGUGUGAAGAAAGAAUAGAAAUUCUUUUCUUCAGAGAAUAGAACUGAAGGAUGUCUGUGUGUGUGUGUGAUUUAUUACCAGGAAUUGGCUCAUGUGCUUAUGGAGGCUGACAAGUCUCAAGUCUGCAGUUGGCAAGCUGGAGACCCAGGAGAGCUGACGGUGCAGGUUCCGUCUGAAGAUAAGCAGCCUCAAGACCCAGGAAGAGCGAAUGUUUAGGUUUGAGUCCACAGGAAGGAAAAAUGUGACACCCCAGUUCAAAGCAGUCAGGCAGGAGAAGUUUCCCCUUACUUGUGGGAAGAUCAGUCUUGUUGUUCUUGUCAAACCUUCAACUGAUUGAACGUAGCCCACCCACAUUGGGGAGGGCAGUCUGCUUUACUCAGUCUACUGUUUCAAAGGUUAAUCUCAUCCGGAAGCACCCAACACCCUGAUAGACACACCCAGAAUGAUGUUUGACCAAAUGUCCUGGCACCCUGUGACCCAGUCAAGUUGACAUGUAAAAUUAACGAUCACAAUGUGUGUGCUUUGGUGUCUGUGUUUAAAAUACCUACGACCCAGACCUUGGUUACUAAAUACUAUUCUGCCUUAAAAGGGCUCCUUGGAGACAUGGGUGAAUCCAAGGCUGGUCAGGGAAAGUAUAAGACGAUCCUAGAACAUCUUGUGAUGCCAUAAAAUUGUGCUCAAAGAAUGAUGGGGACACAUCAAAGGACACAGGGGCCAGCUUGAAAAGGCUCCCACUGGCCAAAGCCAGAACAAUUUGAGCAUCAAAAUAAGUAAUAAUAACAAAACAUUAUAACAUCAAUAAGACAAGAAUCCGUAAGCCCAAUCUCAUAUCAAUUACUGAAUUAAUUGAAAGUUUGAUGAGCCCACCUCUCGUAUUUACAUAAUCUCCAAGUACACACACGCUGAGUGUGCGUUAAUCACAGCUUCCCAGUGGAGAAUCCUGGCAGACGCUGCUUUAAAAAAUGGUCGACAUUAACUUAACAGUAAGAGGACAAGUCAAAUCCUGCACUGACAGACAGGGUGCAACGAGACACACACAGUAUCAUUUCUGUGGUAUUUCUGCAAGAAAUAAGGUGUACAUUCUGAAGCUGAUCAUGAGGAUACCCAAGGAAAACCCAAAUUGAGGGACAUUCUGCACAAUAGCUGACCCUUAUCUUCCCAGUGCCAAGGUCGUGAGGUCAAGGAAAGACCAACGCUCUGUUCCAAACUGAAGGGCAAUAAAGAGAUGUGGCAGCUAACAGUGCGUGAUUCUGAUGGAAUCUUUCUGGUGUAGCAGACAUUAUUUCAAUGACUGAUAAGGUGUAAACGGGGUCUGAGGUCAUCUGGGAUGGUACAGUUAUAUUCAUUUCCUGAUGCUGACUGGUUGGUAGCAACGUCAGUUUAUGUCUUCAUGUAUAAAAACACUCAUUGAGUACUUGGAGAGAUGGAGCAUCAUGUCAUCAACUUACUCUCAGGUUCAGGGGAAAAAGUGCUCUGCUCUGUUCUGACAACUUGUCUCCAUGUUUUAAAUUGUUUCAAAAUUUUAAAAAAUCCAUAAAAGGGGCCGGCCUGGUGGCUCAGCAGUUAAGUUCAAAAGUUCCACUUCGGUGGCCUGGAGUUCGCUGUUUCAGAUCCUGGGUGAGGACAUGGCACCGCUUGUCAAGCCGUGCUGAGGCAGGCGUCCCACAUAUAAAGUAGAGGAAGAUGGGCAUGGAUGUUAGCUCAGGGCCAGUCUUCCUCAAAAAGAAAACAAAAAAAAAAGUAUGUUAUGCAACAUUUCAUUGCAUUGGUAGUCUGAAGUAUCACUUGUCUUCUUGAGAAUACAGCUCUUUGGCUCUAUUCCGUUAACGAUUAUGCCCAUUUACUUUGGUGUGAAAAGGCAGCAAUUACUAAACCCCUCAUCUUUAUAAAUUACUAGUUAUGAUUUAAAUCUUAAAUUCUCAAGUUUGGAUUUUCGUUAUGCAAAAACCUUAUCAAGUAGUGAUUCUUGACUACAUCAUCAUAAGGAGAACAUUUCCCCUUUGGAUGUGUCUCUCUUUUUUUCAGAAACUUUCCCAGUUUGGUUAACCCUCCGGGCCCCUUCCGUGAAGCUGCCUUAACAAAUGCUGUCACCUCUCUUUCAGUGUUAAACUCGAAGGACACUGCCAGUCCUUUCUCGAUGUCUGUCUCCCGGAAACUCACAAGUCACUCGACCCUGUGACAAGGUCCCCCGCUCUCCUCCUGCCUCCCCAGGAAUUACUUGGUGGCCUGUUUGCCCUGUGAUGGUCCCUGGGACGCUCCGAGUUCUGUUCUCACAUCUCAUCUGGCCCUUCCAUGCAGCCUCUCCCUGAGCGGGCUCUUCAAAGUCCUGACCAUCCCCUGUUUGCUGACGGCCUCCAGUCUCCACUGCAGCUGGAAGUCACCCCCAGCAGGGACCUGGAGAGCCCGCUGCCUGCUAAAGGCAUCCUCACUUCAAUCCCCUGAGUACCUGCGUCAGGAACUUCAAGAGUGAACUCAGCACCGUCUCCCGCUCUCCCGUAAGGCCCCCCACCAGGCGUGGUGCUCCUUCCCAUUCCUCCCCAGUGACUCACAUCACCAUCUACCUCGUGCCAGCCAGCCAACAAGAUCCUCUUUAACUUGGGUGUUAUUUAUCGAACGCAUCCAUUUCUUUCUCUCCUCUCCCACUGUCUUAGUUCAGACCACCACUGUCUCUUCUCUAGAUUCAGCCUCAGAGUUGGCGUCCUGGACAGAAGCUCUGCCCGUCUCCAACCUGUCUCCACGGUGAUGCCAGAGCACAUGUGCCGAAGCACGAAUCUGACCGCGAAAAUCCUCAGUGGAAAUGCGGUCUUGUCUUCCCAUUGCCUUUGGGCAAAAAUGCAAACUUAGCAAGAUGAUCCCCCCUAGUCUGGCCACCAUCGCCUCUCCAGCUUCAUCUGUCCUCGUUCUCUCUCGUCAGUACUGUGCUCCUUGCAGUCCUAUGACCAAGUCAGACCAUGUCCAACACCCAGACUGGAACAGACUCACGCCCCAUUCCUUCUCUUUCUUCACCGGGUAACUGUCGGGCGUUAGUAAGAGGCGGCCCAUCUUCUGAGGCGUCUCCUGCAGCCCCUUGGCGGCGUCUGCGAUUCCCUCAGAAUCCUGUGAGGGCCCCGCUUCCAUCAGAGCACUUCCCAGAUGGCGUUACUGUUCUCCGUCUCCACCCUCGCAAGCAUGAUGGAGCUGACAGCCCUUCACCACCAGCCUUGCAUCACUCUCGGAGCAAAACCCAAGUCCACUCCUGCGCCUGCAGCUUCGCCGUCUGACCCUCUCCAGACCCCGUCUCGUCCAGCACCUCCCUCUCCCGCCCCAGUGCUGCUGGCCUCCUCUCUGGUCCUCGGACAUGCCAACUUCACGUGGAGGCCUGUUUGCAACCUCUGGUCUUUGCCUGUCGCCCCCACCUUACCCUAAGAAUCACCUCGGCAGGAAGCCUUCCCUGGCACCCUGUCCAGGAAGCCCUCUGUCAUCGCCAUCACCGCACAUUCCAGUUCUCCACACAGCACUCGUUACUGCUGAGUACUUUUCUUAAUUACUAAUUUGUUUGUUUCUCAUCUGUGUGCCCCCAGCCAGAAGGCGAACUCCAGGAGAGCACAGACCUUGCCUGCCUUUCUCGUUACAUCCCUGAUGCCAAGAAAAAUGCGGCAAUAAAGAAUCAGUUGAAUGAAAGACUUCCCCUAAGACGACAGGCUUCUUGAGGACGGACUCUCUCAUAACAACCUGUUUAUGUGGCAUGAUCCUUGCAUAUCGAAGGCAGUGAUGUCCCUAAUUUGCUCCACAGAUACUUAUUUCCCUAUCCGAGGCUCGGUGCGACGGGUGCCGGCGAGGACAGCGCAGUCCAGUGACAAACACUCACAGCCGCCGGGAGAGACCCCACGUAUGCACGAGCCGUCCAGUUGCCCAAGCUGUCCGACCUUCCAGAAUCAUCCUUUAGUUUGAUCAGAUGACAUAAAAUAAACCCAAACCCCACACUAGGCGAAAUCUAGCAGCCCUGCUGAUACCGCUGAGAAUUCAUGAGGGGGAUGGGAGCAGUUAGUUUCUGGAGCCACGCGUCACCUCCUGCUCCCAGUGCUGGCCCCGAGCUCCAUUCUGAUGUCCUCAGCUGCCUCGAUUUCCAGGGCUGUUGUCCACUAUCCCCCCCCCCCCCCCAAAUUUACCUCCUCUGUUCCCCAGACACAAACCCGUUUAUGUAACUGACCUGUGGUGAAGACUUGGGGACUUAGGGGAAAUUAUAAUUCAGAACAGAAAGGCACCCUCGGUUAAAUGGCAGUUCUGAAUGCUCAGGACUUUCCCCAGCAAGCAAGCUCUCACGGGCCUCUCCCUCCGUCUGCAGCCUGCCCCGUGUUGCCAGCUCUGCCUCCACCUGCAGAGAGCUUCCCCCCAGAGAGUUCCCAUCGCUUUACUAUCCGGAAAACUUAGCUCCCCUUGGAUCACACUUUGUCUCCUAAAUAAGUCCACAAAACUCAUUCACAAGAGGGCCACUAAUCCGCUUUCCCAAACAAAAGAAUACCCCUGCCCUCCUCAAGCAGAGACUCUGGGAACAAAGCGGAGUUUCACCCUCUCAUUUCAGAUAAUCACCUUCUGUCAAUGAUUCCUACAAUUACACUUAGUUUAAGGUUGAACUUGCUGCUCACUUGGCUCAUUGAGACUGUUGAGACGGAAAUCUGUAAGUCUUUCAGAAGAGUUGCCUUUCGACGGCAUCUCUGCCACUUCACACUUUUUUUUUUUUUAAAGAUUUUAUUUUUUUCCUUUUUCUCCCCAAAGCCCCCUGGUACACAGUGGUAUAUUCUUCGUUGUGGGUCCUUCUAGUUGUGGCAUGUGGGACGCUGCCUCAGUGUGGUUUGAUGAGCAGUGCUAUGUCCACGCCCAGGAUUCAAACCAACGAAACACUGGGCCGCCUGCAGCAGAGCACGCGAACUUAACCACUCGGCCACGGGGCCAGCCCCUUCACACUUGUUUAUUGGGAAUUUUGACCAAGGUACAGACAUUUAUCCCUGUUAAGCUUCAUCUUAUUAUAUUUGGCCCAUCAUUUCAGCCUGUCAAGAUCUUUUAGGAUCUUGGUUCUGGCACGCCAUAUAUUCACAACUCCUGCCAACUUCACGUCAAAUGAAACUUGCUUAAGUACACUCUCUAUCCUCUCAUAAGCCACAAAAAAUGGCAAACGGGCAUGUGCUGUUUUGUUACAGGAUUCUAAGAGCUGAAAAGAAGAUAACAAUCACCACACGCGAUAUCUAAGAGCAGAGGCCUCUGGAGUAGGAGUGAAGGUCUCGUGUUCGGGCCUGUCUCCCUUGCUCUUGAGAACCCUGCUGCCACUUAUUUUGAGGUACGUUGGUUCUGGAGAGGGAAUGAGGCCUGGGAGGGUGGGAGCCCUAUCACGUGCUCAGGUGGCAGGGCCGGGUGUCCCUGAGGCAAGAGAAAGGCUAAGGACGGAAGGUGGAGGAGGCCCCGGUGCUGGGGGUCUGCAGGAGCAGGCGGCCUUGCACGCUGUGGGAGGGAGCCCCCUUACCUCCGCAGCCUCAGCUUCCCACUUGUCAUCCUGGUCAAGGCCCCAUAGGCGGGCGGAACGCAUCUUAUGGGAGGUGCCGCGCCACAGUCCACUCCGUCACUGAGCUUGCACUGUCACAUUCACCCUUCCUCACUGCUGGUGGAACCCACAGGAAGGCCCGGCCACCCUCAAGCCAGACCUGACUUUGUCCUCAGCUCAUUUCUCUACUGAUCCAAGACCGCAGUCACUGAUGGAGAGUUCCAGGCAUCAGAAAUAAUAACAAAUAGGCAUAGCCUCCUUUCUGUUGAGAAGCUAGACAAAAAGGCCAGUUCUGUUAUCCAGCACAGUUUGCAGCCGUCCUACCAGUCACUGUCUUAUUUCCAUAUUCUGCAUCCCCAUUUCCUUGGCCUGGUCACCAAGGCCAGCGCUCCCAAGAGAGCCAGCCUCAAAAACAGUUCUGGCUUAGCUGGGUGUGCCGGGAUCCUCUUGGCAGCCUCGCAUGGUGCAUGCGAUCACUGGACUCUGCAGAGCCACUCAGCCUCGCGUUCUGGGCCCUGUACUGCUGCCCUGAGUCCAUAUCCCUGUUCCUGGGACAGAUGCCUAAGUAUCACGUUCCGCAAGCCACAGCACUCCCGGUCGUCCUUCCUCACGCCAUCGCCCUCAAACCACUGCUGAGUCCCACAGACGCUGAUCCUGCGUUACCGCACUGUGUGCCCCGUCACCUACGCGGCUUCUACACAGUUGUUUACCUGGUUGAAUACACACAAGUCCUAACUCUGUUUCUUUUUAAAUAGUAGGCAUUUCACAGUUAUUUGAUGAAUGAACUAACGAGAGUGAGCAGUAGGCACCAGGUGUUCGACAGUCAGGGAGCCGUGACCAGAUUAACUGAGCUGCUCGUCUACCCUGCAGUGUGUGAGACGUGCGGCAGGUGCUUGGCAGCUGUAUCUCACCAACUAUGAGUGUCGCUUUACUUCAGCUCGCUGGUUGGUAAAAUCACAAUUGACAAGUUCAAUGCAUGGUGAACAAAGGGGAUUUAGAGAAAAAUAAAAAUGUAUCAGGCGUGUAUGCAUGCAUAAUGCACAUGUGCACAAAGACACACACACGUGCACACACACACAUACGUGUACACACAGACACAUACGUGAGCAGAUUUAAAUGUUAAAAGGCAGCCAGUCCCAGAACAAGCCCAAUUCUUUCCCAUUCUUGCUGGCCUCAGUAUCACCCUUUUCAUUGUUCAAAAACAAUGAUGAAUCUAAGAUAAUUAUUAUGUUAAGUUUACAUGAGGCACGUUGUAUCCCUCCAUGUUUUAACAUUUGAUCCAACUGGAUUAAAACGUAAUGGCAUUCUUAUGUUAUUUGCAUAUUCUCAUAUGAUGUUUUCACAAAUUCUAUUUGCUCUUUUGUAACGAUAUUUGAAGACACUAUUAGACAUUACAAUAGGCCCUGGGAAUACGGCCUUGAGAAUAUCCAUAAUGCCUACCCUCACAGAGUCUACAAACUAGAGGCACAGAUGGAAUUAAACCAUACUUAAGGAAACAUUUGUUUAAAGAGUAUUAUGUUUCAUCUCCAACCAAACACUCCCAUUAAAAUUUUAUGAACCCACUAUUUUGAAAAAGAAGAGGAGAUGGGUCAUAAGAAAGUAAGAAGUUUUAGCAAAUUUAUAGAAUACAUAAAGAGGUGGAGAAAUGGUAAUCGGUGAAUUAGGGCAGAGGAAAUCUCCAGCCUGGGACACAGAGACUUGCAGUCUGAGCUCUUCUGUAACACAGGAUCUGGGCGAGGCUCGUGACCACAAACGCUGCAUUCACUGAGGGCAGAGCCAGGCAGGAGGCUGCAGCCGGAGCAUAGCAGACCGCCUGUGUGUGGCACCGACCGCCCCUCACAUCCUCCGCCUCCAGUGCUGGAGGCAGGCUCCUCUCCACCAGGCAGGUGGCACUUUUCCAGAGAAGUGGAACGGUCCUGGAGAAAACGGCUUAUUUACAGUUUCCCCAGCAUCAGGAACUCAAUGGCAGGGAUCUUGACCACAAACCUCCGUCACUCGAAGAAGUACUUUGCCUGUCGAUUAGCACUGUCCACACAGGGAGAGUUACUGAUUGGCUUUUACCAGCUUAUUUGUGAAAAAUAAACAACCAAGAUGCACCAGAACCUGGAACAAAGCUCUCGAUAUGAAAGAGUGACCCAAAUAAACUAACAUAAAAGCCAACUUCAAAAAAUAAGAAGACAAGGAAAUGCUUCUAAGCGUCAUCCUCAGAGACUCAUGAAGAAAUCUCGUCCACAAAACAAGCCUAGGAUGCCACACAGGAACAACCAGAGAAUUCCAGCGAGCUCUUGCCUGUGGAGCAGAUUGCUGCCAAAAAUGCCAUAGGGGGCUGGAAGAUAAAGAUGAGGAAUUCUUCCAGAACAGUCAGCGAAAAAAAAGAGGCCAAAGAUGUGAGAGAGAACAGAGGCAUAGAGAAGCUGAGAGGUUCGAACAUCUGAUUAAUGAAUGAAACCUCUGGAGGUGAAGAGCAGAUAGAGUAGAUGAGAGAAAUCAUCAAAUAAACAGCUGAAAAAUCUCCGCAGUUAAAAGAUUCAAAGUCUCCGAAUUGGAAGAGGCCACUGAGUAACAGGACGAUGAAUAAAACAGCCACAUCUGGACUCCUGGACUCUGAAAGCUUGGAGCAUCGAAAGUGUAGACACGGUCUUCAAAGCUUUCGGAGAGGAGGCGGCAGGGCAUGCACAAAGGAGAGAAAAUCAUUCCCUGUGACAUCAAUGAAACGAAGGCUUCACCCUGGGGUCAGACCUGUCGCACCUCCCUCUCCGUGGCUCUGGCGCCUCCUUGUAUACAGGAACGCAAAGCUGAGACUGAAACAUGAAGAAUUCUGUUCAGGGCAAGACGAUGGAAACCAGGGCGGCUGACAGCAACAGCUGCAUCUGGAUCCACAGAGCCCCUCCCUGGAGCAUGACUGCUGCGCAGAGACGGGGACCCCACACAGCACCGUGGAGUCAUUUUUCCUUCUCCUGGAAAGGAAAUGAAACAAAACUCAGUUUCUUAUGACCUUUCCCAGAAAACAGAGAAUACGCAAUGUCAUCAAAUUCUCUCUUAAGUCUUUUUUUUUUUUGUUUGCUUAUCUUUGAAAUUACAUUUGCUUGCAAUUUAGGUUUCUAUAAAAUAACAGAGACAGACAAG